This 116-nucleotide ribosomal RNA is filed under the name Scophthalmus maximus (turbot). The record is from RNAcentral. Lineage: Eukaryota; Metazoa; Chordata; Actinopteri; Pleuronectiformes; Scophthalmidae.
GCUUACGGCCACACCGCCUUUGGUUCACGCCCGACCGCUUUGACUCGGAAGCUAAGAUAGGUUGGGCCUGGUUAGUACUUGGAGGGAGACCGCCGGGAAACCAGGUGCUGUAAGCU